RNAcentral lists this long non-coding RNA (7956 nucleotides) under Eucalyptus grandis. RNAcentral describes it as "long non-coding RNA (EGRA_LNC001392)". Lineage: Eukaryota; Viridiplantae; Streptophyta; Magnoliopsida; Myrtales; Myrtaceae. The record is from RNAcentral.
UAGGUAUAUUCUCACAGACCCUAUUAAAUUAAUGGGUAAUUAGCGAGAUAUAGCACCAUCAAAAACUGUAAUGCGAGAACAAAUACAAAGGUCGCCGGCAUGUCUAAUCUACCUGCAGAGAUCGCGAUGCCAUCCAGGUACAUUCAUGUAUGUCGAUCCAGCAGUGACAUCGAACAUGAUAAUUGCACACUGGCCACGAAUGCUGCAGAAGAACGAACAAAAGUUAAGGUUAAAAUGUGAAUAAAGGAAAUCGCCACAUUCAGAAGACCACUCUAACACCGCCAGCAUUAAGUACAAGACGCAGUCCGAAAAUAAGGUUUUGAAGAGAUACGACUGACAUAAAUUGUACCAGCUUUUAACAAAAUCAGAAGUAAGGACAACCCUGAAACAGAUAUGCACCCUUUACGGUGGAAAUUUUUUUGCAAAAAUACUUGCUUCUUCCUCCUCAACUUCACAAAUAAGAAUCGACUGCACCACUAUCAAGUGAUAAUAGUUAUCCUUAGUAAAACACAGACGGUUGAAUAAACUAUCAACCAAAAUAUAGCUACACCGUAAUUAAAGCAUUGUAAGAUACAAGCUCAAGACAACAUUUUUCCUCCUAUUUUCACUGAAUUCACGACGUAAACUGGAAUCUGAAAAAUCCUUCCACUGAUUUAUAAAGCAAGGAAAUUCUAAGACAGAACUCUCUUUACUCACUAAUAUCCAUCUCUUAGACCCUGCCCUGGAGUAUCCGAGCAGUCAAACCGGAUCAUCCCCCGGUUUGUGAAGAAAUGCAGAGGAUAGACUUCGAUGCCAGUAGUUGCUGUUAUGCGCAAGGACAAUACCAGAAGAUUAGUACAGACUAAACAAUAUGAUAUUCUAAUGACAUCAAAAAAAAAAAAGAAAAAGGAAAGGAAAUAACAGGCAUUUCCACAUCGCUUACGCUCAUAUAUCUCUUCAAAGUCCUCACGAAGAAGUCUCUUCACAAAAGUCGUUUUGCCUGCACAAAGGAACGGACUACGCUCAGUCUGCUAUCCCUUGCUUGACACUAGAAAGAAAAGAUAUAUCAUCUCAUGGCUUCUACAUCGCGACAAAUGAAGAAGAUCGCAAAAACCACUUUUUGUCUGACACCCUUCGAUUUCAGACAAAUCCCCAGAAAUUGUGGAAAAACAUGCUGUCCGCCACUCCAAAUAGUAAAUCCUCUUCAAGGAUAUAUAGCCAUAAGCAUGUUAUAUUUUCCUGAUCCCGACCAGUAAAAUAACUAGAGCAAACCCUAAUUUAUCACGACAGCAAAUGCACCUGUUCUGUAUACAAAGUAACGAGCGAUUGAAUCAAAACUGGUAAAAACAGAGCACGCCAGUGACAAUUACCAGUGCCCUUAUCGCCAACGAUGAGAAGCUUGAACCUCGGGUCAUCGAACAUCGGUUGAUUCGGUAAAGCCUGAAAGAGACACGCAAGGAAAACAGCAACAAUUAAAACAACAAACCAAAUGAGAAAAAAAAAAAAAAAUCCAAACUUUGCAAUCACGUAACCAGAUCGCUCAGCUCCAGAACCCCCAAAAGAAACAGCAUCUGACCAGGACCCAAAAGCUCGAGAAAAAUCACGAAAAGAAUCGAGAUUCAAGAAGACCCAGCAACAACAAGAACACGAGCUAUCCAUAUAAGAAUGGACGCGUGGAAAAUGGGAUGAUGAAAAGGAAAGAAAAGCACGUAGGGACCGUUUGGUUUGAUUAAGGGAUUUUUUUGAAAUGUUACCCCUUUUGGUAAAUUGUAGCAUUGAAAGGUACAUUAACAUAAAUACCAUUCGGCAAAAGUCACAAAUGGCUUUUGCUUUUUUCUUCUUUUUUUUUUAAUCUGAAAAUUAAAUCCGGCGGCCAGCUAACCACCGGCCAAUUGCCGGACGGCCAGAUCUGGCCGCCUGAGGUCGUGACCUCAGGCAACGCCGUCGUCUACGGUCGCAGAGGCCAGAUCUGGCCUCCGGACCGCCAGAUCUGGCGGCCUGAAGUCGCGCGGACCCAGGCGGUGGUCACCGGGGACGCGCGACCCCCAGGCGACGGCGGCGGUUGCCGGAGAAGCCGGAGAAGCCCGACUCUCAGGCGGGGAAGACGAAGACGAGUGGGGAAAAGAUGAAAAGUGACGCGUGAACAGCGAACUUGCAUUUUAGAAAUGCCGAAUGCUCACAGCAACUGCAUUAGGCUUUCAGCAUUAGGAAUGCUGAUAUUUGCUCAAUGAGCUUUCAAAAAAGUCUCUCAAACGCAAAAUAUUUUCCCCUUAAAAAAGUCGAACCAAACGAGGCAAACCAACUCACCAUUGAUGAUUGCGAAGAGGAGGGUCGGGAUUUUGGUGGGUGUCUGAGACACACAGAAUUUCGAAUAGGUUCCGAGCAGCACAGUGAAGUGGGAGAGUAAAGGUUGAAAAGUCGUACAGGGAGGAGGUUUUAGAUGGAAGGGAAAGCGUGAUUUUUCCCUGUUUCUUUUUUUCUUUAGCCUAACAUGGCUUAGAGCUGAUGCUGCCGUCUCCUCCGUUGGAUUCGAUUUACUUAGAACCUGCUGACCGUCCGACCUGUACCUCCCCCCCACGUUCCUAAAUUUCUUCGAGGCGAAAGUGCGAGGAAAUUUCCUAAGAGUCUAUUAUAUACAAAAAUUGAAAUUUCAAAUCCUUCGCCCUUUAUCUCCACCAAACUCCUUGGACUUUUCAUCUAUCUUCAAGGAUAUAGCCACGAGCAUGUUACGUUUUCCUGAUCCCGACCACUAAAAUAACUAGACCGAAGCCUAAUUUAUCACGUACAUAGCAACGAAUGAUUGAAUCAAUACCAGUAAAACAGAGCACGCCAGCGACAAAUUACAUGUGCCUCCAUCGCCGACAAUGAGAAGCUCGAAGCUUGGGUGAUCGAAGAGAGAGAGAGAAUCGAAUGCAUUCGGAGGAGCGAAGGGUGGUGGGAGAGGAGACAGCAGUGUAGGUUUCAAGAGGAGGGAAAGCGAUGGGAGAAUAGAACUUAGAAUUUGAAAACCGAAUCGGGGUUAUAGAUUUCGAAAAUUAAAGAAUCUGUUUCGGCGGAUAGUUUCCAGAUUCUAGAUUGGUGGAACUUACAUUGAUCUAUAUCUUCGUACGAUCCUACAGUAUUUCAUGACGUUUAAUGAUAAAUGCAUAAUUUGAAACCACUAGUAUGAGCUUCCACUUUAUAAUUGAGACUUUUACAAUAUAAAUUAUGAUCAGUAUUGUAGAAGUAAUUGGUGGUCAUUAGAAGUUAUCAUUCAUUACAAUCGUUCGAUUAAUAAUUAUAAGUAGAGCUUGGAUAAACCCGGGAACUGUGACGGGAUAGGUUUUGGGUCUCAAAAAAUGAGGAAAUUAUUCUAAUGAGUAGGUUUGCCUGAAAUUUAUACGAAAUCUUGAACCGCUCAUUCAGGGAUAAGAGGAGGAAUGAGAAGAAAGACGACGGGGAUUUUUUUUUUUUUUUUUUUUGUCGAACGUUGCUUUCAGUUGACGCUGAUGUCUCCCUCGUCAGAUUCGAUUACUUUCUUACAAGUAGUGUUCUAGAAUCUGUUGACCAUCCGAUCAUUACAGACUCCUGGUUGAACUCGCACCCCCUUUGUGUUCCUAAAUUUCGAGGGAGUGAGGAAAUUUUUGAAGAAUAUAUAAAAACAACAUUUCACGUUCUUCUCAAUUUUCAUCGAAUUUCAUUCCCUUGUUGUGUGAGAGAGGUAAGGGAACGGAAAUUUUAAAUGAAAAGCAAUCAAAAUUUUAAAAUUUUAGAUUAUUUCCUUCCCCUCCAAUUGCCAAAACAAAGCUCGGUGGUAGGCUAUCUUAAUCAAUUCCGGCAUACUAGAUCAAAUGAUUCCUUAUCAAGGAUAGACGGUUUACACCGAAACAAAGAAAAUUCACAAAUAGUUAACCAAUCAUGACCGGAGACAAUUCGCCCUUAGUAAAACUGGAAUUAGAAAGUGUUUUAGGGCCAUUGAUGAAGGUCGACUUUUACAAGGCAAUCGAAUUAUAGACCGUCAAAUUGAAGAGAUCAAGUAUCCAAACAUUUGAUGAUAAAUAUAUUGUCUACGGUUGAACUGAAAAUAACUCUUUAUCAAUUGUCGGAUGCAAAAUAGACAAGAUUACGGUGAAAUUCUCCCGUAGACACCAAAGAAAGAAAACUGGUUUUAGGGAACCAAAAUUUGAAUGAAAAGCAUGAAAAAAUUCAAAAUUUUGCCCAAAAUUUCCUCCUCUCCCAUUGCCAAACAAAGCCGUGUUACAAGCUAACUUAAUCAAUUUUGACACUCUAAAUUGAAUAUUCCUUAUCAAAAAUAGACCAUCCACACCGACGGGAAAAGACAAAUUACUAAUAAUUACUCGAUCGUGACCAGAGAUAAUGUGCCCCUAGUGAAACCUGAAAUUAGAAAGUGUUCUAGGGCCAUUGAUUAAGUUCAACUUUUGCAGGGCAAACGGAAGGAAGAGAUCAGGUAUCCAAAUGUUGGAUGUUAAAGUAAUGUCCAUCAUCGGACCAACAAUGACUCAUUAUCAAUUGUUGGAUGUGUAACGACAAAAUUACGAUGAAAUUCUCCAAAGACACCAAAGAAAGAAAACUGAUUUUCAGGAACGGAGUAUGCAUUGUUCAAUGUUUGUAAGACCUCCGACGAUUCGUGCUUGCUCGGUCCAAGUUUUCUGAAGCUUUGCCCGUGCCAUGCCACUAUGCCCGUGCAAAAAUGGGCAGUGAAUGAAUAUUUUUCGCCCGAUAUUGUCUCCUUAGAUUAUGUGUUCAAUUGGUCAUCUGUCGUUUUAAAGCACACUUAAUCGUAGUAUCGAUGGAUUCUCGAGAUGCAAACUUUGAUAAGAUGUAACAGCACGCAUAGUAAUCUAUUGCGUUUCUUUUGAGCAAAUUGUGCCAAGAGUUGUGAACCCUAUGUAUGAAAUGCGUUUAAAUUCUAAAGAUUUUAAUUGGUCCAGUCGUGUCCGAAAUCAACGUCAACGCCAUGGGUCCCACUUCCCAUAUCCCUGUGUUUUGACUCGCUUUACUGGCGACGUGCUCGGAAGGUGGGGGGGAGGGGAGGAGGGAGGGGGUGAUUUCUAGAAGUGCGUCGAAGACCAGUGAUCGUGGUGCUCUGGUGUACAUAGUCGGAGGUUUUUAGUUUGGGGUGCUUUCAAUUCGCAAUUUGAGGUUGUCGUUAGCCGCUUGUUUUUACUGGUUACGUCGUCGGCUCGCCGUUGAAAUAUGCAUUAUUAACGCGGGUUUGGAGGUACUUGUUUAUUAGUUGCAUACGCUACAAGGUCGGAGCGGCAAGAGAUACGCUUCCCUUUCUCCCGAUCGUGUGAAUUAUCGAGUAAGCGGGGAUUUGAUGUUCGUGAUGGCGAUGUGCAGAGGCUAUUUCGUUUUUUGGCCCUUGUGAUGACGACGUGCAAAGGCUAUUUCGCGUUCUCGUUGAGCGUACGUCGGCCUUUUCAAUUUGCACACUCGGUGCUUGUUUUUAUGUUUGAUAUAAGUAAAGAAUCUUUUUUCUCGAGUGGGAUUCACAGAACUUGUGAUUUGUCGUGUUAUAAAAUUUUAGUUCGAUCCAUAGAGCAGAUACGCGCGCACUUCUCUAAUUGUUAUGAUUGUUUCAUUUUAAUUACGUACAUCGUCAUAUUUUGUUAUUUUACUCUUUUUUUCGUUUCCCUUUUUAAUUUGACAUAAAAUUUUAACCAAGUAACACAUUAACAUAAAGAGCCUAAAGUAAUUAAAUGGACGCAGUACGGCAAUAUAAAUCGGGUUGAGUACAAAUUAUCAAAAUUGUAUUACAUAAGAAUGGAUCAAUACAAAUUAAAUGAAUUAAUUUAGGUCGGAACAUCUUCGAACCGACCCGCCUAUUUAACACCCUCAACAGCAUCCAUGUACCACAAUUGUCUAAAAGAAUAUGUAUGCUGUUAACUAUCAAUACAUUUUUUCCGAAAUUGAGGUCAAUUUGAUAAAUCAAGCGGAAACAAUUAUGUAAUUUAGCAAAACCAAAAAAGUGAAAACAUCUCCCAUCCCCAAUGUAGAACUCCAAAAUUGCAAGGAUGCAGGCUGAAACCACCUGCCGUCUCGAAUGCCCACUACCGUCUCCAAACCUAAAAACUGCUUUUCCAGCGCCAUCGGGAAGUGGCUGAAUAGCUGCUUCAGCAAGUUCUGCCUCAUGCCUGUUCGAGACAACAGCCACCGUAGGUCAACGGACAGUUGAGAAGAGGUUUAUGAACCAUCAAACUAGCUACACAACUUUGACUCAAAAAAAAGAAAAAAGAAAAAAAAGAAAACUAGCUACAGAGCAAUUUACGAAAAAGACAAGAUAGUUUGACCAAGCGACGCAACCACUGGCGACGCUGAUGGGGACCAGCACGUCCUCUUGUUUUGUUUUUGAAAAAAGACACUGGCCCCAGAAUACUAUUAUAUCUGUGACCCCUAGCGAGUUGACAACCUAUCCUUUUCAAGAUGUGUGACCCGUUGACGAUCUCAAAAAAAAAUUUGCGUUUUUAAAAAAAGAUACUGGCCACAGAAUACUAUUAUAUCUGUGACCCGACCCGACAAAAAGAUCAGAUAGACCGGACAGACAACCCCAGCUACAAUUACCACUCCAUAAUACCAACCGCAUCAUUCGCAAGCACGAUUGCGAUUUACUUAUAUGCAAUUAAGUGCAUCCAGAAGAGAGAGGCGGAGGACCAAGGCCAGGAUGCACGACGACACGACUAUUCGUAAAAAUUAACGUUAUAAAAAGCAGAUAAUGUAGGCCAAGAUUCUUACUGCUGCUGUGGGGCAAAGUCCAUGUGCACUUCUGGAGGAGUAAGAGCAGGAGACUCAACGACGUGCAGAUUUGGCUCCCUGCGUUUACCAGAACAAAUGAUUAGCCACUAGACCGUAACAACUUUCGCAAAUAGCAGAUAAUAUAGGCCCAGAUUCUUACUGCUGCUGUGGAUCAAAGUCCAUGUGCACAGCCGGAGUAGCAAGAGCAGGAAACUCAACAAAGUGCAGAUUUGGAUCCCUGCGUUUACCACAACAAAUGAUUAGCUACUUAGACCAUAACAACUUUUGCAAACAGGAUUUGCACGUUUUGCUCAAGUACCCAGUAAGUUUUCUGGCCAGGUAGAGGAGGGGUUUCUCAAGGUUGUACUUGCUUUUUGCAGAAAUUUCAUAAUACUGCAAAUUCUUCUUCCGCCGGAAGGUAACCUGCCUUGCUUGAACUUGCCUAUUCUGCACAUCUACCUUGUUUCCACAGAGAACUAUAGGUAUAUUCUCACAGGCCCUAUUAAAUUAAUGGGUAAUUAGCAAAGAUAUAGCACCAUCGAAAACUGUAAUGCGAGAACAAAUACAAAGGUCGCUGGCAUGUCUAAUCUACCUGCAGAGAUCGCGAUGCCAUACAGGAACAUUCGUGUAUGACGAUCCAGCAGUGACAUCGAACAUGAUAAUUGCACACUGGACACCAAUGCUGCAGAACAACGAACAAAAGUUUGAAAUUUGGAUACCCACAGACACAGGAGGGAGAGGGAGGGAAUCCCUCUCCCACAAGCAAGGUUAAAAUGUGAAUAAAGGAAAUCGCCACAUUCAGAAGACCACUCUAACACCGCCAGCAUUAAGUACAAGACGCAGUCUGAAAAUAAGGUUUUGAAGAGAUACGACUGACAUAAAUUUUACCAACUUCUAACAAAAUCAGAACUAAGGACAACCCUGAAACAGAUAUGCACCCUUUACGGUGGAAAUUUUUUUGCAAAAAUACUUGCUUCUUCCUCCACAACUUUACAAAUAAGAAUUGACUGCACCACUAUCAAGUGAUAAUAGUUAUCCUUAGUAAAACCCAGACAGUUGAAUAAACUACCAACCAAAAUAUAGCUACCCCGUAAUUAAAGCAUUGUAAAAUACAAGCUCAACACAACAUUUUUCUUCCUAUUAUCACUGAAUUCACAAGAACGUAAACUGGAAUCUGAAAAAUCCUUCCACUGAUUUAUAAAGCAAGGAAAUUCUAAGACAGAACUCUCUUUACUCACUAAU